This is a non-coding RNA of Peromyscus maniculatus bairdii (prairie deer mouse), 924 nucleotides long. Lineage: Eukaryota; Metazoa; Chordata; Mammalia; Rodentia; Cricetidae. The record is from RefSeq and is a predicted model, not a curated record.
CUUUUGUGAUGGCUCAAUUCUCUGGCAGGAUCCUCAGGUGUGGCUGGACGAUCUGGACACAGUGGCACCAAUUUCUCCCUCAGCAACUUAUCAAUAGUGGAAGAGCUUUCUUCCCAGGAGCUCCAGCUAAGUCCUAAGCUUGGCUCCUUGGUCACAUGCCAUCAUGCUUCCUGAGCCAAUCAUGACUGACUGUACUGUUGAAGUGACUGUGGUCCAGCUCUGCAGCCAGGAGCGAUCAGCCAUGAAGUCACAUGGUCUGAUGAAAGACAGUUUUCCAAAAAUUUUGGUUUUUCCUUGAGUGUGGUUGCCACAUGCACACAUGGAUGCACAGAGGCCAGACAAGGGUGUCGUGUCUUCCUUUAUCAUUCUCCACUUUCUUCCUUUAAGAUAAGUGAACUGACUUCUGUGAAGCACCAAGUGCCAUUUGGAGUGAAUUAUUUUAGAGAAACCUGGAUUUGGAAGGUUUCAAAAGAAAGCCUGGGAGGACAGUCAACGUGUGGCAUGGUCAGAUACUCAUGGGAACAGCAACGGGGAAGCUGAAGAUGACACAGAAACCACAGGAAGUGGGAGAAGACAGGAACAUGGAAUGUCUGCCAAGGAAAGCCACAGGAAAGAGGAGCUAGCCCAGCAGAGAGGCCAUGUGGGCUUUGACAACUGCCUAUGGGGUGGGCUGCCAAGUCCAUUGGCACUCAGCAAGUCCAAAGCUAUGGUCAGAACUUGCCUGCUGAGUUCCGGUCUUUGUCUUUAUUCCUUUCUACACUCCAGUGGCCCUGUCUGUAACGGGAAUGAAUGCUUAUUCUGUGCCACCGUGUAUUGUUUUUUUGUUUCCCCCACCCAGAGACAGGGUUUCUCUCUGUAGCCCUGUAGACCAGGCUGGCCUUGAAUCCAGAGAUUCACUUGCCUUUACCUACCAAGUGCUGGGAU